GAGAUAGUUAAUAAUAGAAUGAGUGAGGGAGAGAGAGUAUGUUUAAGAGACUAAGAGAGGGUGAUAAGAUAAAAUAAAAUAUAUAAAUGUCACAUAAAUCAUUAUAAUUCAUUACUUAUCUGCUUCAUAUUAUAUGUAUGUCAUGGAUAUUAGAAAUCAAAAAAGUUGGAUGUAUAACCGAUUGACGUAAGGACGAAAGACAUUAACAGAUGAAUUCAUUAAUGGGGUGAACAUUUUCAUUUAGACAGCAAAACAACUACCCAGCUUCAUAUCAGAUGGAAUGUUUCGAUGUCCAUGUUCUAAACAUAAAAAUCUAGUGCACCUAAGACCAAAUGAUGUAACUGUUGAUCUGUAUUGCAGAGGAUUCAUGCCAUGGUAUUGGUAUUGGUAUUGGACUUCUCAUGGUGAGUACGAGCUACAUUUUUUAUGUGCAGAUGACUUCAGGUGAAGAGCCUAGCAGAGGAUUGAUCAAAAUAUUUUUAAUAGGCGUAGCAAGAAGAUCACUAUAGUUGGACCAUCUAGGCCAGUACGUACUGAGGGGACCACUUCGUCUCAGCCUGCUACACAUUCUCAGCCUGCCACACAUACUCAGCCUCCCUCUUAGCCUACCACUCAGCCUACCACUUAAUCUCAGCCUACCACUCAGUCUUUACCCACUCCUGGAGUCAGUAGCCCGCAGUUCUACUCACUAGAUCCCACGCAGAGUACUCAUUUCUACCCUUACUACCCACCCCCACCUUAUGGUGCCCCUCCUACUUAUCCAUAUCCACCAUAUGUUUCACCAUACUACCCCCUCAGCCUACUACAGGUGGACCUUCGACACCAGCUGCACCAGAGCAUGCGACAGAUGGUCGAAUGUUGAUAGCACCUGACGGUGACACGUUCUACCCAUCAAAACAAUCGACACAUAAAAUACGGGACAUCAUACGAAGCAGGUUUGACACUCCUUAUGUUUCUUGGAAGAAAGUCCCAAAAGAAGUCCGGGAAAUGUGGUUUAGAGAGUUUGAGAAAGAUUUUUGUUGCUGCCCCAGCAUAAUGAUAAAAUUAGAAAGAAUUUUGAGAAGCGUGGGUCCACUCAGAUGCGCGACAUGUUCAUAGAUAUUAGAAAGACUGGCGAGCGGCCAUUGUGGAUGGGAGAGACUAUAUGGGCUGAGUUGAACACUGCUUGGGGCAGUGCAGAGUAUAGCAGGAGGAGGGAUUAAAAUCGACAUAACAGAGCUUAUGAUGUUGGGGGCUUGGGUAGUUCCCUUCAUAUUGGCGGCUCAAAUCCACAUACUGAGCACAUGCGACGUUUGAUAAUGAAUUUUAAAAAGUAUUUUAAAAUUUUUCUUUAAUAGAA
This is a long non-coding RNA of Dendrobium catenatum, 1339 nucleotides long. RefSeq lists it as uncharacterized. The transcript has 3 exons. Lineage: Eukaryota; Viridiplantae; Streptophyta; Magnoliopsida; Asparagales; Orchidaceae. The record is from RefSeq and is a predicted model, not a curated record.